This 159-nucleotide small RNA is filed under the name marine metagenome. Its description in RNAcentral is "Enterobacterial sRNA STnc410". It matches the Rfam family "Enterobacterial sRNA STnc410". The record is from Rfam by way of RNAcentral.
AGGAUAAAACGCACAAUCGCGAGAUUUCCCCAACGGAGAUAGAGACAUUUUCGUCCAUUGCUGCGGCUUUUGUCUUCUGAAAAGUCACCUGAUACCGUGAUUAACACGCCAGGCCCAAUGUUUUUGCUCUUUUUUUGAUCCAUAAAGAAAGAUGACGCA